This 253-nucleotide ribosomal RNA is filed under the name uncultured bacterium. RNAcentral's name for it is "partial 16S ribosomal RNA". It matches the Rfam family "Bacterial small subunit ribosomal RNA", at positions 524 to 776 of the family's 1533-position model. The record is from RNAcentral.
GACAGAGGAGGCAAGCGUUAUCCGGAAUUAUUGGGCGUAAAGCGUCCGUAGGUGGUUUGACAAGUCUGGGGUUAAAGCCCGGAGCCCAACUCCGGAUCGGCCCUGGAAACUGUCAGACUUGAGUAAGGUAGGGGUUGCGGGAAUUCCCGGUGUAGCGGUGAAAUGCGUAGAUAUCGGGAAGUACACCAGCGUCGAAAGCGCGCAACUGGGCCAUUACUGACACUGAAGGACGAAAGCUAGGGGAGCGAAUGGU